This 258-nucleotide ribosomal RNA is filed under the name uncultured prokaryote. Its description in RNAcentral is "partial 16S ribosomal RNA". It matches the Rfam family "Bacterial small subunit ribosomal RNA", at positions 524 to 782 of the family's 1533-position model. The record is from RNAcentral.
UACGGAGGAUGCAAGCGUUAUCCGGAUUUAUUAAGUUUAAAGGGUGCGUAGGUGGGCGUUUAAGUCAGUGGUUAAAGCCAUUAGCUUAACUAAUGUAUGCCAUUGAUACUGGAUGUCUUGAAUGUGGUAGAGGUAGGCGGAAUGUGUUGUGUAGCGGUGAAAUGCUUAGAUAUAACACAGAACACCGAUUGCGAAGGCAGCUUACUAAUCCAUCAUUGACGCUGAGGCACGAAAGCGUGGGGAUCAAACAGGAUUAGA